GCAGUAUUGCAUGUUUCAUAUGCAGAAGUUAAUAGAAGUCUGUCAAAGCGGAGCCCGAAGUGGCACAAUUAUAAGUGACACUUUGGCUAAAAAUAAGUCCGACCAAAAAGGUUGGAGUGAUCUUUUUUUUUUUUUUUUUUUACCAAAUGUUACUUUCUGUGUGGUGGGAUUCAAAUGUAUUUAAAUUCAUUUGUGCUGAUGCAGCGUCCCACACUUGAAUACUUUCUAGGAACCAAUAAAAUUGGCUUAAAAAAAAAAAAAGAACUGCAGGAUUGGGCAAUCGUGGAAAUCACAAAAUAUUCUUGAUUCUUGUGUUCACGCUUUUAUUUCAGGACAUUAAGCUGAUAUUUAACAAUACACUAAAUCACAAACUGUGAAGUUCACGUGCAGCUGCUUUUUUUUUCUUCCCUUUGAUGCCUUGAUUGGAGGCAUGUCUACUCAGAUCUUUCAAGCAAUGAAUGUAACCAUUUGCUGUGAAAUGUGUCCAGAAGUGUAUUACGUUGAGGUUACCAAUCUGUGUCGGAUCUGCAUAGCUGUUCUCUAACGUGCCCUUAUUUGGAGUUGGAUUGUGUAUUCUUUGAAAUUGGUGUAAGAAAGGCUAAAUUUAAGCAGUCCACACCAUCUGAGGAUUUUUUUUUUUUUUGAAAGUCAUUGUAAUUGUUUCUUUUGUGUAAAUUAAUCUGCACAGACUUCAUGUACCGAUUUGCCCAAAGUUACUUUCAUACUUAAGUAUUUUGUCCUUUCGCUAACAUUCCUCUGACUGCAUGUGUUAUGUCACAUCUGUUGAGACAAGUCUGGCUUGGAAACGUCAUCAGCCAGCGUUGCUGAAUGUGAAUAAAAUGAGUUUAGUUCGUCUUUGGCCACUAGGGGGCAGUGAAUAAAACUUUUAUGGUGGUUCCCUUUUGUUCUGCUGUAAUGACAACUUUGUGUACUUAACACUAUUUUCUCAUCAACGGCAACAAAGAAAGGAUUGUAUAUCAAUAAAAUGUGAACAGUCGAAGAACUUGGAUCAGUCUGACUUUUUACAGGAAAUAUGUUUGUGCAAGUCUUUUUGCAGCAGC
Molecule: long non-coding RNA, 1061 nt
Organism: Astatotilapia calliptera (eastern happy)
Lineage: Eukaryota; Metazoa; Chordata; Actinopteri; Cichliformes; Cichlidae
Source: Ensembl